RNAcentral lists this ribosomal RNA (402 nucleotides) under uncultured bacterium. Its description in RNAcentral is "bacterial SSU rRNA". It matches the Rfam family "Bacterial small subunit ribosomal RNA", at positions 15 to 418 of the family's 1533-position model. The record is from RNAcentral.
GAUCCUGGCUCAGAUUGAACGCUGGCGGCAUGCUUUACACAUGCAAGUCGAACGGCAGCGGGGGCUUCGGCCUGCCGGCGAGUGGCGAACGGGUGAGUAAUGCAUCGGAACGUGCCCAUGUCGUGGGGGAUAACGUAUCGAAAGGUACGCUAAUACCGCAUACGUCCUGAGGGAGAAAGCGGGGGAUCUUCGGACCUCGCGCGAUUGGAGCGGCCGAUGUCGGAUUAGCUAGUAGGUGAGGUAAAGGCUCACCUAGGCGACGAUCCGUAGCGGGUCUGAGAGGAUGAUCCGCCACACUGGGACUGAGACACGGCCCAGACUCCUACGGGAGGCAGCAGUGGGGAAUUUUGGACAAUGGGCGCAAGCCUGAUCCAGCCAUGCCGCGUGAGUGAAGAAGGCCUC